RNAcentral lists this ribosomal RNA (500 nucleotides) under uncultured bacterium. RNAcentral describes it as "partial 16S ribosomal RNA". It matches the Rfam family "Bacterial small subunit ribosomal RNA", at positions 30 to 523 of the family's 1533-position model. The record is from RNAcentral.
AUUGAACGCUGGCGGCAGGCCUAACACAUGCAAGUCGAGCGGAUGACGGGAGCUUGCUCCUUGAUUCAGCGGCGGACGGGUGAGUAAUGCCUAGGAAUCUGCCUGGUAGUGGGGGACAACGUUUCGAAAGGAACGCUAAUACCGCAUACGUCCUACGGGAGAAAGCAGGGGACCUUCGGGCCUUGCGCUCUCAGUGGGGCCUAGGUCGGAGUAGCUAGUAGGUGAGGUAAUGGCUCACCUAGGCGACGAUCCGUAACUGGUCUGAGAGGCUGAUCAGUCACACUGGAACUGAGACACGGUCCAGACUCCUACAGGAGGCAGCAGUGGGGAAUAUUGGACAAUGGGCGAAAGCCUGAUCCAGCCAUGCCGCGUGUGUGAAGAAGGUCUUCGGAUUGUAAAGCACUUUAAGUUGGGAGGAAGGGUUGUACGUUAAUACCGUGCAAUUUUGACGUUACCGACAGAAUAAGCACCGGCUAACUCUGUGCCAGCCGCCGCGGUAA